Molecule: long non-coding RNA, 5915 nt
Organism: Passer domesticus (house sparrow)
Lineage: Eukaryota; Metazoa; Chordata; Aves; Passeriformes; Passeridae
Exons: 2
Source: RefSeq, a predicted model, not a curated record
GGCCCGCUGAGCCCCUCAGGCCCGCCCCGCCGGGAAUUGUUGUCCUUCGGGAGAAUUAUUUCAUUUAAAAUGCCCGUCUGAGGGAUGUUUCUGCUUUUAGAGAUGCCGCAGUUGUUUGUUUGUUUGUUUGUUUUUUCCCCUGCUUUUUAUGUGUGAUAGGUGUCUGUGCCAGCAAAGCCGUCGAAAGGAGCGAUUUGCUUCCUGGAGUUUUGUCCGUGUAUCACUGAAGGAAGGCUCACUGCCUGCCUCUUCUGCUCUCUUAGGAAAUUUAAAGAAGUCAAAAGGGCCUCAAGUUCACAUAAAAUGAUUUUGUGUGCCUAAAAGCUCUGGGAGGUUUUUUUUUUGUUUUGUUUUGUUUUUUUUUUUUUUUAUUUUUUAUUUUUUAUUUUUUUUGUGUGUGCUCCUAAAAGCAGGAGCAAGGAGCAGCUCCAUCCCUGGGUGAUGAGCAGGAUUUGCCCCCUCAGCUCAGCUUCUGAAACAGUGGAAAUACCGUGUUCCCUUUGCUGUACAUCACCUUACCUCUAUGUUAAUGCUGCCUAGAGAGACCACAGACAAACAUCCAGCAUCAUUAGAGCUCACCUGUCAACGUUAAACUCUGCAAAUUGUUGCAUUCCAUUUCAAGCAUAAUCAAAGGAUUUUUUUUUUUUUUUUUUUUUAAAUCAAGGUGGAUUGCCUGAGCUUUUGGUACUGCAGACAGCUUUUAACUAUGAAAGUAGCACGGUGUUUGAGUUUAAAAAGCAAACACAAGAUACAAUCUGUGAUAAGCAGCAUCCUCUAAAGCAAAUACAAACCAACCAGAACAAACAGCUUCAGGCAAAUUAGCAAAGUAAACAGUCGAAAGCAAAGAGAACAAGAGAAGACCAGAGAGAGGCUGUAUUGCUCUUUCUUUGGAGGUCUUAAAGGGUUUCAGCAACUCCCAGCUCCAUCUGUCUGUAGGAAAUCAGGGUUUUGCCACUGGCACGAGUAUUAAAAUUCUGCCAUGGGACUGGGAAAGAUGAUGCUCCUGGUGCUUUGUAACUCUCUAAUUAGUUUCUCUUCUGCCAAAGAGCACAACAUCAACAUAUUUUAGUACAAUAACUAGUCUCAGACAAUUUCUCAAUCAUUUCUCGGGAUGUGACUGAAAUAAAAUCCACUGCCACCAGCUCCCAAACUGUUGAUUUCACCAAAGCUCCACGAGUGCAGGAAUCAUCACUUAUGACCAGUCUGCACAGCCAGGGUGUUCUUUCUGUCUACUUUGCUUGUAGAGGUUUAAUAUUCUGUGAAGUAAUUUAACUCCUUGCAUAGAUGUUAGUCUUGGUCUUCUGUUCUUACAUGCCUACCUAGCAAAUUAUCUACUACUUAGAUUUUGUCCUGAGGCUCUGAACCAUCAAUUAGUACUUUAUUAUAGCCAUGAUUUUUUUGGUCCAAAUAAAAAUUUAAGCCAAGAGAAAAAGCUUUUUUAAAAAGUGGACUGCCCUGCAAACACCUACUGUUAAAGGCACAGUUGUGAGUCAAACUAGACUGUUUGUCUCUGAAAACACUACUUCAGUUGUAGAAAAGAAUUGAGGUAGUAAGAUAUACUACCUCAAUUCUCAUAAAUUUUAAUGUAGAACCAUUAGCUUUUAAAAAACCCAAAAUCUUUAACAGAUACUGAAGAAAAUGCUAUUGACUAUACAAAUUGUAUUUUAACAGAAGAAUUGCUGCAGUGAGAUGUAAUUUUCUACGUGUGUUAAUCUGUGUGAUACUACAGGUGAGGAUGCAGUGCUCUUUAGUUCCAAGGGACAUUCAGCAUCUUUUAGAAACACAAGCAAUCCAGUAAGAAAGAGCUCCAUUAUUUUCUACUUUAUGUAUUUUCCUUUCAAAUCUAAUGAUUUUCAGAAGUUGUUAGGGUUACGGGGUCAACAGACACUGUAAGAGUCCAUUAGGUGUACGAGAAAGCAGAGCUGUGAAAAGCACUCAUGAGGAAGAACAUAAAAAACAAGUGCCCAACAAAUGUUGGAAGUAUUGUUAUACGUGGUUGUUUCCUAAAGCAGGGCACUCAGACAAGGAAAAGCAUCCCAGGCCAGUCAGGACAAUGUUUGUCCCUUUUAGGGCUGUAGGAGAAAGCUCAGUGUCUGAACACCAAAGACAUCUAUUUACAAUCCAAAUUCAGAGGGUUUGUGAGAGCAGCACUAUUUCAUAUUGCUGUUCUCUCUGGGCUCUGCAAGCUGCCUUUAGAGCUUGUGAUGGUGGUGCUUGGUGCUCUUCCUCACACCUGCAAGUUGUUCUAGCUCUUUCCUAUAGCUAAGCACUAUCCUUUCAUGUAAUUAGACUUAAAUUAUUUCCCUGGUGGUGGUGGGUUGACCUUGGCCAGCUGCCCGAUACCCACCCAGUCACUUUCUCACCCCAGUCCUCAACAGGACAAGGCAAAGGAAAAUAAUGCUGACAAGCUCAUGGGUCAAGGUGAAGGCAGGGACAUCACUGUCACAAACAAGGCAGACUUAGCUUGAGGAAAAAUUAUUUACUUUAUUGGUGGUUAAAACAGAUUUGGAUGGUGAGAAACAAAGACAAAAUUAAAACUCCUCCACCGCUUUCUCCCAGCCUCACCUUCACUCCUUCAUUGCUGAUUCCUCAGCCUGUCUCAUGUGACUGCUGUUGGGAGCAUGGGGAAUGGGGGCUGUGCUCAGUCCAUGGCAGCUCCUCUCUGCCGCUCCUUCCUCUUCACACCCUGCUCCAGCAUGGAUGCAGUGGGGACACCUGCUCAGCCAUGGUCUCUGGAGGGGCUGCCAGAUAACCCCUGCUCUGGGACCUGGAUCACCUCCUCCUCUGCUCCCCCUCCUUCUCUUGAGGCCCACAGGGAUGUUUCUCAACUUUUCCCCUUGUUGCCACACAGCAUUUUGACUUUCUGUCCUCACACAUUCCCUGAGGUGUCACCCUGCUGGCUGCUGGACUCGGCAUUUCUCAAUAGAAAGUGCUCCAAAAUAUUUCAGAGAUGGUAAAUCAAAAUCAAAAAAAAAUUUAAUAAUCUUUUCAGCAAGAUGAGGUGUAUCAGUAAGAUCACUUUUUGUGGGACCAGCUGUAGGCAUUUCCAGACUCAGACAUGAGCAGUUUGCAACACAUUUCCACCUCUGGAGCCCCCUGUAAGCUGAGCUGUGGAGCUGGAUUACUGAUGAGGAGAAUUACUGAGAAGGAGAAAUGUGCAUCUUUUUGGAGGUCACAGAGGUUCUUGAGCUGCUUUUGCUGCAAAAGCCACUGAUGUCUGAAUCUUACAAAUAAUUUCAAAAAGAGUUCUCUAAAAAUGUGGCAUUUACCUGGCCUAAUAGUAAAGGACACAAGGCAAUGGGGAGCCAUUUGAUGGCUCACUGCUGCUACUGGCUCCUCCCCUCUUUUGUUCUUGCUCUGGCUACUGCUCAUCCACAUCCCUUGCCAGAGUUUUUCCCAAGCUGAUUUGUACCACAUAAGAUUGCAAAAAAUUGUUUGAAAAUUAGACUGUUUCAAUUCACUAAUGCAGAAUUAAUAGAUCAGUCUAUAGUAAGGGUGAAGGGUGCAUCAGAGGAAAAAAUGGGACAAGACUGCUACUAAAAGUUUAAAGAAAGACGUAAAAUGGAAUUGAGAGCAAGAUAUAAAAUGAAGUGAGAGAGCCUCCUCUUCCAGGGAGGAGGAGCUAUUAUGCUGCCCAUGCUGUCCAGAGACCAUGCUCCAUCAUCUUCCUCACUCCUCUACUCUUCAUUGGGUUGGCAUAUUUUAAAAAUUGAUUUUAAAAUUUGUCAGCUUUGCAAACAUAUCACUUAAUCCUUUGGUAUACUAGACAAAAAUUACUUUCCUGUAAAACGACAUUAAGAUCUGCCUUCACUCACCAAGUCAGGUAUCAGUAGCUGAAAAACACAAGUUUUGCUUGGUAGUCCAGUUUCUCUUUUUCCUGUUUCAGGAGGUGCUGUUUUGUAUUGACUUUGUGAAAAACAAGGCAGCAGGCAUUCAAAACAAUGACUUGUCAGAUAAAUCUGAAAUCACACCAACACACGUCUCAGACUGACCUCUUGAAAGUUUUACUUAGACAUUUGUGAACUUCAAUCAUCCUGGAAAUGUUGGAGAGUCAAACCCAAGACACAUUGCAGCUCCUGAAGGUGGCCCUGCCAUCAUUAGCACUUGUUCAUAUAUCCUGCACUGCUGUCUGUCAAAAGACAAGAGGCAUAUAAAGACAGCAGAUAAACAAGGUUUUUAGUUUACAGAUGUCCAUUCUAUGUUUAAAAAAAGAAAAAAAAAAAAAAGAAAACAAAUUCCAAAUAUUAUUAUUCUUUUUUUUUGCCAUUUAUAAUUUGAGAUCUUUCUUUUCAUGAACUGAUUGAUGCUUUCCAAUACAAUCCUCCCAUGCUGAAAUGACAACCAAGGAUAGAUGGAUCCACAGCAUUCAUAUUUUUUACAUGCUUUAUCUUCAAUAAGGCCAGAUUUCUGAACAUUAGGACUAAAAAAUGAGAAGAAAAAAACAGACUUUGUCAUUUUUGAUAAAUUAUCAAAAUGGACAUCUGAGACAGUCCAUUCAUUCUAAAAAUUCAUUCCCAAGUACUAGAUUAAUUCUCCCUUAGAACUGAGAAGACCAGAAGACCAAUGCACACCAAACUCUCACCUGAAUUUAAAGCUCUUUUUUUCUUUCUUUUUUUUUUUGUUUUGUUGUUUUGUUUUGUUUUGUUUUGUUUUGUUUUAAAUGCUCACCCUUUAUUCAUUUCAUUCAUACUAGUUUUGCACUGUUCUGUAGCUUAAAGCUCCUGAUGCCACUGGAGCCUGAACACUGAAAUACCAUUAAGAAAAUGUUCUUUUUGUUUUUCUGGGCAGCGGGAUAUAUAGAAUCCACCUGAACAGAUUCCUAUAAAAUGCUGUAUGUCCCAGGAGAUUUACAUAGAUUACAUAGGCUUCAGGUAAACAUUUGAACCAAAUUUUGCAUCUUUAGAGGAUUACCUGUAUGCUAUUAUUAAUUAUUUCAGUGACAUUGUUAUUAAUACAUUUCAUAACACAGUUAAAUUAUUUUGUGUUUUUAUAAUGAAAAAUACCCCAAAUUACUUUGUUUUUGGGGAAUGUUGUGAUUAACAUGGAAAUACAUAUAGAAGAAAAAAGUAGUAAGCAUUGCUAUUUAAAACUGACUCAACUAUUAAACAAUGGCAUUUCAGAUCACAGAAUUAGACUUUUCCCAAGCUUAAAAAAUUUGAAAUCUCAAUUAUUGAUGUUAUGCAGAUGUUCUCAAAAAUUAAAUAACAAAUUUCCAUCUCAUUCCACUUUACUACAUUUCUGCAAGUAAUUAAUAUUCCAGGUAACUUCUGUCAUGUGAAAGGUAGUCAGACUGUGUUUCACUGUUGUUGUUAUGAAAUAAUUUGAACAAGAGAUGUCUUCAAUGCUUGUGGUAAAGGGUGACCAUGCAUUUUAAAUGCUUUGUAUGACAACAGAGAGGGUCCUGGACUGUGGAAUGAAGGUAAGAAACUGCAGAAAUCCCAUAUUAACCCCAGUGUGUUAUUCUUGAAACUUGAAAAAGCCCAGAUAUUUUAUCUGACAUUCUCUCCACUCAUUCAGUUUUCUGAUCUACAAAGGAACAAGCACUUUCUGACAAAGGGGGUUAUGCACUUACAUGUCACACAGCAUCUGCACUGUGUUGGUACGUCCAGAGCAGGGAGACAAACAGAGCUGCUGAACUUAAAAGAAAUCAAUUACAAACCCAAGAUUUCCAUGGAAACCUAAUGAAAACAAACACAAGAUACAAAAGAAGAUUAAGCUUGGAGUCAUCAAAAGAAGAGCUCUAAUUAUAGAAGCAACACAUCAUUGGAGGGAAAUAUUAAACUGUAAGAGUCAGCACCCACCUAGCAAGUGUCAUAAAUAAAUACCAAAAUUCUAAGGGGAAAAUUCAACAGUCAAAUCUGCAGAUGUAUGUCUCUGACAAGUGAUUUAAGUAAAGCUCCUUGUGGUCUCUGAAA